This 229-nucleotide ribosomal RNA is filed under the name uncultured bacterium. RNAcentral describes it as "partial 16S ribosomal RNA". It matches the Rfam family "Bacterial small subunit ribosomal RNA", at positions 8 to 230 of the family's 1533-position model. The record is from RNAcentral.
AGAGUUUGAUCCUGGCUCAGGAUGAACGCUAGCGGCAGGCCUAACACAUGCAAGUCGAGGGGCAGCACGGUGUAGUCAAUACACUAGGUGGCGACCGGCGCACGGGUGCGUAACGCGUAUGCAACCUACCCAUAACAGGGGGAUAACACUGGAGAAAUUGGUACUAAUACCCCAUAACAUCAGGACCGGCAUCGGUUCUGGUUGAAAACUCCGGUGGUUAUGGAUGGGC